RNAcentral lists this long non-coding RNA (593 nucleotides) under Zalophus californianus (California sea lion). Its description in RNAcentral is "lncRNA (ENSZCAG00015017807.1)". The record is from RNAcentral. Lineage: Eukaryota; Metazoa; Chordata; Mammalia; Carnivora; Otariidae.
GGGUCGCUGUUGGCCACGCCCCAGGGCUCUGUUUGGGAACCCCCAGAAUUUAUUGGAGUAGAGAGAUUGCAGGGGUCAUGGUGGGGUCAGGGCGAGAGGGCCGGCCAACCUUCUUCACGUGACCCUGUUUCCCCCGGGGAGGAGUUCGUUUUCCCACCACAGGGGGCGCUGGGGCCGGGGGCCGAGGGGCGAGGGGCUAGGGGCCGCCUCCCUCCCUUCCCGGGUACUUCUGGGCGUCGCUCUUGGGCCUGGGAGGUGACGCCAUCUGCCCGCGACGGGGGCGGAACGCACUUGACGCCAUCUCCGGGCGCCCGGCGUGGGGGGGCGCUGGGUGUGGGGCGGCUCCGGGGCCGGGGAUGGCGGCGGCCGCGGUCGCGGCGGCUCCGGGACGAGCGGGAGGAGCCCGAGGAGCGCCGUGAGAUGGGCCGGCUCCCAAGGCAGUGGGGAGGACACUGCUUCUUACUGCAGCUGCUCAGAGGCACUACUGGAAGCUCAGAUGUGGGCGCCCCCACCAGCAGCAGAGAGGGGUGCAGGGGAGCCACAGAGAAGCCCCUUCUGAUGUCCCAAGGAGCAAGCCGACCCCUUCCAGGCUC